UCAUGGCGAUGGACAUCAUCAUUGGAGAAGACCACAAAUUGGCAUCUAUUGGAGCAAACCACAGAUCGGCUAUCAAAGUCAAAAGUUGGGCCUCCGCUGUUUCGUCGUCGGAGUCGAUGAUGCAUGCACAAUCAGAUUACCGUUGAAUGCACUUAGUGAUUCCACCAGAAGGUCAGCGACAAGAAGACGGCUAUAUCUGGAGGUAAAGUAAAGGUGUCAAACCGUCAAACCUAUCUUAAUUUCUUUUGGAUCAUUGGAUCAAUUCAUUCGGGCGUCCUGUUGAGAUUCAAUUUCGAUUAUGAAUUCUGGUCUGGUGGAUUGUCCCCGGCGAAUUAGUUUUCCAGUAUCCCUAAAUUGGGUGGUUUCUAGUACUAGAAUUAGAGUCUGAUUGUUGUUUUACAGUUACCGGUUUAGAUGGAGUUCCGAGGACCUGAAAGCGGCAAAGAUUUGUUGUAAUAGACUUGGAGAAAAGUUGGGCUUCCGAUAACCUGAAGGGGGAAGAGGCUUGUGCGCUGACGAUACGGUUCAGCUCAAACCAUGAAAUCGUUUCGGUAAGCACCCUGAAUUGAACCUAUGUUUCAACUUUGUAACCACCUUGGAUCUUAAUCCAUAACUUGUUGUUGCUGCAGUAGAAUUCCUACGGUAUUUAACGGUCAGAAGUUAUUUAUUGGUGUCGUAGGUUUACGUACCAAUGUGUGAUGAAGCCCAUUGGUAUUUACUCAAUAUCUCAAUAACGGAUAAAAGGGUUCGUAUCGGGAACUGUUGUCGUGAAAGAUCUCAAAUUAGAGACGCGACAACAACUACGAUAGUAAGUGAUCGAUCCCCUAGCUUUCUCUGAUUUUGAUUUAUAUGAAACUGGGACACCGUGUUACAAAGUCUACAUGUACCGAUUUGAAACUGUGAUAUGUAAACACUGCACUUCGUAGUUGGCGUGUUCCUAUGUGCAGUCCUUGGGCAUCGAGAUUAUGGGCUGCUCUGUAUAUGUGUUAGAACAUCCAAAGUCCUACUGGAGCAAUGAUUUAGUUGUUGAUCAUAGCAGUCCACGAGAGCAAGUUCCUCUCAGGCAUUCCAUCAAACAAGUCAGAUCCAUCGGGAAGCAAACAUACCCAGCAAUAAAAAAAUUCUACUAACAUUUAAGCGUGAGUUUGAGAUGAGAAGAAGAUGGUUGAACCAACUAAUCUAAAAUAUACAAUUCUAAGAGUUUAAAAUAUUAAAGUUUGAUUUUCAUGAAAUAAUGUUGUAAUGCCAAAACACCUAAAAUAUAAGUGUUUCUUUUAGAUGGCGUU
RNAcentral lists this long non-coding RNA (1286 nucleotides) under Linum usitatissimum (flax). RNAcentral describes it as "long non-coding RNA (LUSI_LNC002624)". Lineage: Eukaryota; Viridiplantae; Streptophyta; Magnoliopsida; Malpighiales; Linaceae. The record is from RNAcentral.